This 497-nucleotide ribosomal RNA is filed under the name uncultured bacterium. RNAcentral describes it as "partial 16S ribosomal RNA". It matches the Rfam family "Bacterial small subunit ribosomal RNA", at positions 28 to 507 of the family's 1533-position model. The record is from RNAcentral.
GAUGAACGCUGGCGGCGUGCCUAAUACAUGCAAGUCGAGCGAACAGACGAGGAGCUUGCUCCUCUGACGUUAGCGGCGGACGGGUGAGUAACACGUGGAUAACCUACCUAUAAGACUGGGAUAACUUCGGGAAACCGGAGCUAAUACCGGAUAAUAUAUUGAACCGCAUGGUUCAAUAGUGAAAGACGGUUUUGCUGUCACUUAUAGAUGGAUCCGCGCCGCAUUAGCUAGUUGGUAAGGUAACGGCUUACCAAGGCAACGAUGCGUAGCCGACCUGAGAGGCUGAUCGGCCACACUGGAACUGAGACACGGUCCAGACUCCUACGGGAGGCAGCAGUAGGGAAUCUUCCGCAAUGGGCGAAAGCUUGACGGAGCAACGCCGCGUGAGUGAUGAAGGUCUUCGGAUCGUAAAACUCUGUUAUUAGGGAAGAACAAAUGUGUAAGUAACUAUGCACGUCUUGACGGUACCUAAUCAGAAAGCCACGGCUAACUACGUG